UACGUAGGGGGCAAGCGUUGUCCGGAAUCAUUGGGCGUAAAGCGCGUGUAGGCGGCCCGGUAAGUCCGCUGUGAAAGUCGGGGGCUCAACCCUCGAAUGCCGGUGGAUACUGUCGGGCUAGAGUCCGGAAGAGGAGAGUGGAAUUCCUGGUGUAGCGGUGAAAUGCGCAGAUAUCAGGAAGAACACCCGUGGCGAAAGCGGCUCUCUGGGACGGUACUGACGCUGAGACGCGAAAGCGUGGGGAGCGAACAGG
Molecule: ribosomal RNA, 253 nt
Filed under: uncultured bacterium
Lineage: Bacteria
Description: partial 16S ribosomal RNA
Rfam family: Bacterial small subunit ribosomal RNA
Source: RNAcentral